This is a long non-coding RNA of Manis javanica (Malayan pangolin), 573 nucleotides long. RefSeq lists it as uncharacterized. Lineage: Eukaryota; Metazoa; Chordata; Mammalia; Pholidota; Manidae. The record is from RefSeq and is a predicted model, not a curated record.
UUCUUAUGCAUGGUUUCCUGAUGCAAAUGUGUCAUGACUCUGCCUGUAGGCACUCCCCUGCCUGCCAAUCUGUAUACCCUGGUACUGGGUGGACUCCCUAUAGCUCACAUUAUGUCCACGUAUGGCCAGGAUGCUGAGGCCCGGAAGAUGCCAAGUGAAGUUGGCAGGUGGAAAGAAUGACUGCGCUUGCUCCAUCUCCACUGAUUCCUCUCGGUGUGUCACCUGGACCCGAACUGAAGUUGGAUGCCAGGGCAUGGAACUCCUCCUUGUUGAGCUGACCUUAGAUGAGAGAGAGGAGAAAAAAACACAGCCAGUGACUGCACAGUUCAUUCUGCAUGGAAGACAGAGACCAUGACAGCCCAGUGUGGCGGUGCUGGAAGGAGAGCCAUUUCCGGCUAACGAAGAGGGUCCUUAAGGGGGGAUCUGCAGCCUCUGUCCUGGGUGUGGCCAGGAGCCUUGUCUUGUGGGCGCUCUGUGGGUGGAGGGGUGAGCUCAUGCCUUUUCCUCCCUGAAGCAGUCAUUCUAUGACAUUCAGCCCCAACCAGGUCCUUUGGUCACAAAAUAAAGAAUGGU